GACGAACGCUGGCGGCGUGCUUAACACAUGCAAGUCGAACGGAAAGGCCCUGCUUUUGUGGGGUGCUCGAGUGGCGAACGGGUGAGUAACCCGUGAGUAACCUGCCCUUGACUUUGGGAUAACUUCAGGAAACUGGGGCUAAUACCGGAUAGGAGCUCCUGCUGCAUGGUGGGGGUUGGAAAGUUUCGGCGGUUGGGGAUGGACUCGCGGCUUAUCAGCUUGUUGGUGGGGUAGUGGCUUACCAAGGCUUUGACGGGUAGCCGGCCUGAGAGGGUGACCGGCCACGUUGGGACUGAGAUACGGCCCAGACUCCUACGGGAGGCAGCAGUGGGGAGUAUUGCACAAUGGGCGGAAGCCUGAUGCAGCAACGCCGCGUGCGGGAUGACGGCCUUCGGGUUGUAAACCGCUUUCGCCUGUGACGAAGCGUGAGUGACGGUAAUGGGUAAAGAAGCACCGGCUAACUACGUG
RNAcentral lists this ribosomal RNA (468 nucleotides) under uncultured bacterium. RNAcentral's name for it is "partial 16S ribosomal RNA". It matches the Rfam family "Bacterial small subunit ribosomal RNA", at positions 28 to 507 of the family's 1533-position model. The record is from RNAcentral.